AGAGUUUGAUCCUGGCUCAGAACGAACGCUGGCGGCAGGCUUAACACAUGCAAGUCGAGCGCGUGGCAACACGAGCGGCAGACGGGUGAGUAACGCGUGGGAAUCUACCGGACCCUACGGAAUAACGCAUGGAAACGUGUGCUAAUACCGUAUACGCCCUACGGGGGAAAGAUUUAUCGGGGUUUGAUGAGCCCGCGUUGGAUUAGCUAGUUGGUGGGGUAAAGGCCUACCAAGGCGACGAUCCAUAGCUGGUCUGAGAGGAUGAUCAGCCACAUUGGGACUGAGACACGGCCCAAACUCCUACGGGAGGCAGCAGUGGGGAAUAUUGGACAAUGGGCGCAAGCCUGAUCCAGCCAUGCCGCGUGAGUGAUGAAGGCCCUAGGGUUGUAAAGCUCUUUCACCGGAGAAGAUAAUGACGGUAUCCGGAGAAGAAGCCCCGGCUAACUUCGUGCCAGCAGCCGCGGUAAUACGAAGGGGGCUAGCGUUGUUCGGAAUUACUGGGCGUAAAGCGCACGUAGGCGGACAUUUAAGUCAGGGGUGAAAUCCCGGAGCUCAACUCCGGAACUGCCUUUGAUACUGGGUGUCUUGAGUGUGGAAGAGGUGAGUGGAAUUCCGAGUGUAGAGGUGAAAUUCGUAGAUAUUCGGAGGAACACCAGUGGCGAAGGCGGCUCACUGGUCCAUUACUGACGCUGAGGUGCGAAAGCGUGGGGAGCAAACAGGAUUAGAUACCCUAGUAGUCC
This 740-nucleotide ribosomal RNA is filed under the name uncultured bacterium. RNAcentral's name for it is "bacterial SSU rRNA". It matches the Rfam family "Bacterial small subunit ribosomal RNA", at positions 8 to 796 of the family's 1533-position model. The record is from RNAcentral.